UACACUCCUACGGAAGGCAGCAGUGGGGAAUUUUGGACAAUGGGCGAAAGCCUGAUCCAGCAAUGCCGCGUGAGUGAAGAAGGCCUUCGGGUUGUAAAGCUCUUUUGUCAGGGAAGAAACGGUGAAAGCUAAUAUCUUUUGCUAAUGACGGUACCUGAAGAAUAAGCACCGGCUAACUACGUGCCAGCAGCCGCGGUAAUACGUAGGGUGCAAGCGUUAAUCGGAAUUACUGGGCGUAAAGCGUGCGCAGGCGGUUUUGUAAGUCUGAUGUGAAAUCCCCGGGCUCAACCUGGGAAUUGCAUUGGAGACUGCAAGGCUAGAAUCUGGCAGAGGGGGGUAGAAUUCCACGUGUAGCAGUGAAAUGCGUAGAUAUGUGGAGGAACACCGAUGGCGAAGGCAGCCCCCUGGGUCAAGAUUGACGCUCAUGCACGAAAGCGUGGGGAGCAAACAGGAUUAGAAACCCUGGUAGUCCC
This 473-nucleotide ribosomal RNA is filed under the name uncultured organism. RNAcentral's name for it is "partial 16S ribosomal RNA". It matches the Rfam family "Bacterial small subunit ribosomal RNA", at positions 332 to 797 of the family's 1533-position model. The record is from RNAcentral.